GGGGGGGGGGGGGGGGGGGCGGGGGGGGGGGGGGGGGGGGGGCGGCACGGGGGGUGGCGCGUGGUGGCGAGGGGCGAACGGGUGAGUAACAUAGCGGAACGUACCCAGUCGUGGGGGAUAACUAGCCGAAAGGGUAGCUAAUACCGCAUACGGCCUGAGGGAGAAAGCGGGGGAUCGCAAGACCUCGCGCGAUUGGGGCGGCCGAUAUCGGAUUAGCUAGUUGGUGGGGUAAAGGCUCACCAAGGCGACGAUCCGUAGCGGGUCUGAGAGGACGACCCGCCACACUGGAACUGAGACACGGUCCAGACUCCUACGGGAGGCAGCAGUGGGGAAUUUUGGACAAUGGGGGCAACCCUGAUCCAGCCAUUCCGCGUGAGUGAAGAAGGCCUUCGGGUUGUAAAGCUCUUUCAGCAGGAACGAAACGGUCGGCUUUAAUAAAAUCGGCUAAUGACGGUACCUGCAGAAGAAGCACCGGCUAACUACGUG
RNAcentral lists this ribosomal RNA (486 nucleotides) under uncultured bacterium. Its description in RNAcentral is "partial 16S ribosomal RNA". It matches the Rfam family "Bacterial small subunit ribosomal RNA", at positions 39 to 507 of the family's 1533-position model. The record is from RNAcentral.